Aquila chrysaetos chrysaetos is the source of this 104-nucleotide long non-coding RNA. RefSeq lists it as uncharacterized. The record is from RefSeq and is a predicted model, not a curated record. The transcript has 3 exons. Lineage: Eukaryota; Metazoa; Chordata; Aves; Accipitriformes; Accipitridae.
CUUCAGCACGUACUCCCCACAGCAACAGGAUGCUGAGGCUAGCAAAUGGUCAGCAAAGUCGAGACAAAUAUAGUCCAACACAGUCUCUUACACGUGCCCACCAA